This 772-nucleotide long non-coding RNA is filed under the name Vitis vinifera (wine grape). RNAcentral's name for it is "long non-coding RNA (VVIN_LNC002340)". Lineage: Eukaryota; Viridiplantae; Streptophyta; Magnoliopsida; Vitales; Vitaceae. The record is from RNAcentral.
CCCGGUCUCUUGAAGACAUUGAUUUAGCUUUUAAGGAUGCUGAGUCAGUUUCAAAGGAAACUGAAGUUAAGUUUGCAGAGUCCAUGCUGCCUGACUUUGACAUCAAUUCAGGCAUGCCAACGAUUGAAGCACGGUCUUUUGAAAACAUUGAUUUAGCUUUGAAGGAUGCUGAACCAAUGUCAAGGGAAGCUAAAGUUGAGGAUGCGGAGCCCACGAUACCCGAUGUUGAAAUCAGUUCAAGGAUGCCAAUAAUUGAAGCGCGAUCCCUUGAAGACAUUGAUUUAGCUUUUAAGGGUACGGAAUUAAUGUCAAAGGAAGCCAUUGUACCUGACCUUGUCAUCAAUUCAGGCAUGCCAAUGAUUGAAGCACGAUCUCUUGAAGACAUCGAUUUAGUUUUGAAGGAUGCUGAGCCACCAAUGUCAAUAGAAACUGAAGUUGAGGCUUCAGAGUCCACAAUACCCGACAUUGAGAUCAAUUCAAUGAUGCUGGUCACUGAGGCGCGAUCCCUAGAAGACAUUGAUUUAGCUUUUAAGUAUACGGAAUCAAUGUCGAAGGAAACUGAAGUUGAAGGCAACUCCAACGUACCUGAAAAUGACAUCAAUUCCAUGGUAUACAAAAAUGAUGUCAAUUCUGAGAUGCUAGUGAUUGAAGCCCGAUCCCAUGAAGACAUUGAUUUAGCUUUCAAGGAUACCAAAUUAAUGUCAAAGGAGACUGAAGUUGAGAUUGAGGAGUCUAAGGUACCCGUCCACGAGAUCAGUAUGGAGAUGCCAAU